RNAcentral lists this transfer RNA (64 nucleotides) under Cavia porcellus (domestic guinea pig). It matches the Rfam family "tRNA", at positions 1 to 62 of the family's 71-position model. Rfam says of the family: Transfer RNA (tRNA) molecules are approximately 80 nucleotides in length. Their secondary structure includes four short double-helical elements and three loops (D, anti-codon, and T loops). The record is from Rfam by way of RNAcentral. Lineage: Eukaryota; Metazoa; Chordata; Mammalia; Rodentia; Caviidae.
GGGGAUUUAGCUCAGCGGCAUAAGCACCUGCCUGGCAAGCAUGAGGUCGUGAGUUCAAUCCCCA